This 478-nucleotide ribosomal RNA is filed under the name uncultured bacterium. RNAcentral's name for it is "bacterial SSU rRNA". It matches the Rfam family "Bacterial small subunit ribosomal RNA", at positions 32 to 524 of the family's 1533-position model. The record is from RNAcentral.
AAUCAACGCUGGCGGCGUGCCUAACACAUGCAAGUCGAACGAGAAAGUGGAGCAAUCCAUGAGUAAAGUGGCGACCGGGUGAGUAACACGUGACUAACCUACCUUCGAGUGGGGGAUAACCUCGGGAAACCGGGCUAAUACCGCAUAACAUCUUUGGAGUGGAAAUUUCGGAGAUCAAAGGAGCAAUUCGCUGGAAGAGGGGGUCGCGGCUGAUUAGCUAGUUGGCGGGGUAACGGCCCACCAAGGCUAGAUCGGUAGCCGGCCUGAGAGGGCGCACGGCCACACUGGAACUGAAACACGGUCCAGACUCCUACGGGAGGCAGCAGUGGGGAAUUUUGCGCAAUGGGGGAAACCCUGACGCAGCAACGCCGCGUGGAGGAUGAAGUCCCUUGGGACGUAAACUCCUUUCGACCCGGACGAUAAUGACGGUACGGGUGGAAGAAGCCCCGGCUAACUUCGUGCCAGCAGCCGCAGUAAG